GUGAUUGCUUGGCAGCACAUAUGCUAAAACUGUAAUGAUACAGAGAAGAUUAGCAUGGUAGCAUGGCCCCUGCUUUUUUUUCUAUUUAAUAGCCUUUUAUUU
Small nuclear RNA from Sarcophilus harrisii (Tasmanian devil), 102 nucleotides. Lineage: Eukaryota; Metazoa; Chordata; Mammalia; Dasyuromorphia; Dasyuridae. The record is from Ensembl.